Molecule: ribosomal RNA, 265 nt
Filed under: uncultured Staphylococcus sp.
Lineage: Bacteria; Bacillati; Bacillota; Bacilli; Caryophanales; Staphylococcaceae
Description: partial 16S ribosomal RNA
Rfam family: Bacterial small subunit ribosomal RNA
Source: RNAcentral
GCGGCGGGNGGUAGUAACACGUGGGUAACCUACCUAUAAGACUGGGAUAACUUCGGGAAACCGGAGCUAAUACCGGAUAAUAUUUCGAACCGCAUGGUUCGAUAGUGAAAGAUGGUUUUGCUAUCACUUAUAGAUGGACCUGCGCCGUAUUAGCUAGUUGGUAAGGUAACGGCUUACCAAGGCGACGAUACGUAGCCGACCUGAGAGGGUGAUCGGCCACACUGGAACUGAGACACGGUCCAGACUCCUACGGGAGGCAGCAGGA